Molecule: ribosomal RNA, 253 nt
Filed under: uncultured bacterium
Lineage: Bacteria
Description: partial 16S ribosomal RNA
Rfam family: Bacterial small subunit ribosomal RNA
Source: RNAcentral
UACAGAGGGGGCAAGCGUUGUUCGGAAUUACUGGGCGUAAAGGGCGCGUAGGCGGCCCGCUAAGUCGAACGUGAAAUCCCCGAGCUCAACUCGGGAACUGCGUCCGAUACUGGUUGGCUUGAAUCCGGGAGAGGGAUGCGGAAUUCCAGGUGUAGCGGUGAAAUGCGUAGAUAUCUGGAGGAACACCGGUGGCGAAGGCGGCAUCCUGGACCGGCAUUGACGCUGAACAGCGAAAGCCAGGGGAGCAAACGGG